CCUACGGGUGGCAGCAGUGAGGAAUAUUGGUCAAUGGGCGGGAGCCUGAACCAGCCAAGUCGCGUGAGGGAAGACGGUCCUACGGAUUGUAAACCUCUUUUGCCGGGGAGCAACGGGGUCCUUGCGAGGGCCCGCUGAGAGUACCCGGAGAAAAAGCAUCGGCUAACUCCGUGCCAGCAGCCGCGGUAAUACGGAGGAUGCGAGCGUUAUCCGGAUUUAUUGGGUUUAAAGGGUGCGUAGGCGGCCUUUUAAGUCAGCGGUGAAAGUCUGUGGCUCAACCAUAGAAUUGCCGUUGAAACUGGGAGGCUUGAGUAUGUUUGAGGCAGGCGGAAUGCGUGGUGUAGCGGUGAAAUGCUUAGAUAUCACGCAGAACCCCGAUUGCGAAGGCAGCCUGCCAAGCCAUGACUGACGCUGAUGCACGAAAGCGUGGGGAUCAAACAGGAUUAGAUACCCUUGUAGUC
Molecule: ribosomal RNA, 461 nt
Filed under: uncultured bacterium
Lineage: Bacteria
Description: partial 16S ribosomal RNA
Rfam family: Bacterial small subunit ribosomal RNA
Source: RNAcentral